RNAcentral lists this ribosomal RNA (496 nucleotides) under uncultured bacterium. RNAcentral describes it as "partial 16S ribosomal RNA". It matches the Rfam family "Bacterial small subunit ribosomal RNA", at positions 28 to 506 of the family's 1533-position model. The record is from RNAcentral.
GACGAACGCUGGCGGCGUGCCUAAUACAUGCAAGUUGAGCGAUGAAGAUUGGUGCUUGCACCAAUUUGAAGAGCAGCGAACGGGUGAGUAACGCGUGGGGAAUCUGCCUUUGAGCGGGGGACAACAUUUGGAAACGAAUGCUAAUACCGCAUAACAACUUUAAACAUAAGUUUUAAGUUUGAAAGAUGCAAUUGCAUCACUCAAAGAUGAUCCCGCGUUGUAUUAGCUAGUUGGUGAGGUAAAGGCUCACCAAGGCGAUGAUACAUAGCCGACCUGAGAGGGUGAUCGGCCACAUUGGGACUGAGACACGGCCCAAACUCCUACGGGAGGCAGCAGUAGGGAAUCUUCGGCAAUGGACGAAAGUCUGACCGAGCAACGCCGCGUGAGUGAAGAAGGUGUUCGGAUCGUAAAACUCUGUUGGUAGAGAAGAACGUUGGUGAGAGUGGAAAGCUCAUCAAGUGACGGUAACGACCCAGAAAGGGACGGCGAACUACGU